AACAACCUCGUACCCAGGCUCUUUCCUCUACGCGCCUCGCGUAGUGGAAAGAGCCUGGGUACGAGGUUGGGGAAAGAAG
Non-coding RNA from Paramuricea clavata, 79 nucleotides. The record is from the annotation of a GenBank genome assembly. Lineage: Eukaryota; Metazoa; Cnidaria; Anthozoa; Malacalcyonacea; Plexauridae.